UCGGAAGCUAAGCAGGGUCGUGCCUGGUUAGUACUUGGGUAGGAGAUUGCCUGGGAAUACCAGGUGCUGUAAGCUU
This 76-nucleotide ribosomal RNA is filed under the name Coregonus zenithicus (shortjaw cisco). Lineage: Eukaryota; Metazoa; Chordata; Actinopteri; Salmoniformes; Salmonidae. The record is from RNAcentral.